This 368-nucleotide ribosomal RNA is filed under the name Bacillus sp. AFS017274. RNAcentral's name for it is "bacterial LSU rRNA". It matches the Rfam family "Bacterial large subunit ribosomal RNA", at positions 1372 to 1739 of the family's 2925-position model. The record is from RNAcentral. Lineage: Bacteria; Bacillati; Bacillota; Bacilli; Caryophanales; Bacillaceae.
ACGCAGGGUUAGUCGGUCCCUAAGGCGAGGCUGAAAAGCGUAGUCGAUGGAAAACAGGUUAAUAUUCCUGUACUUCUGGUUAUUGCGAUGGAGGGACGGAGAAGGCUAGGCCAGCUUGGCGUUGGUUGUCCAAGUUUAAGGUGGUAGGCUGGAAUCUUAGGUAAAUCCGGGAUUCUAAGGCCGAGAGCUGAUGACGAGUUACCCUUUGGGUGACGAAGUGGUUGAUGCCAUGCUUCCAAGAAAAGCUUCUAAGCUUCAGGUAACCAGGAACCGUACCCCAAACCGACACAGGUGGUUGGGUAGAGAAUACCAAGGCGCUUGAGAGAACUCGGGUGAAGGAACUAGGCAAAAUGGCACCGUAACUUCGG